CGGCGUUCAUCCAUCGCUCGGCCGAUCGGCUGCUUCCCCCUCGCCGCCCGUUGCUAGGCAGGCCCGGACGCAGCUGCCGCCGUUUCCUGCCCGCUCGGGGGCGGCCGGCGGCGGGACGCGGCGCCCACCCUCCCUCUCCUUCCCCGCCAUGGAGGGUGACAAGUGAUUCCUUACAGAGGGACGAUGGUCUCAAAGAGAAGAACCAGAGAAGAUACUUGGAAAUCAGAAGAACUGUGGAAACAUCUCAGGGCAUCACAGCCAGAUAGUCAAAAUGAAGACCAAAGGCACAGAGAAAAGAAACUGCAGAAAGAGAAGUCUGUUUAUGACACAGACACUCAUAAACAUGAACGCAAAGACAGAGGGAAGAGCAAGGAAAGAACAAGAGAGAGAGAGCGAUUCAGAUCUGGUGAAAGAGACAGGGAUAAAAUGAGAGAGAGAGAAAGGGGAAAAGAGCACCAGAGAGAAGGAGAGCGAGAGAGAUACAAAUAUAAGCUUCGAGAAUCAAGUAUGGAGAAGGACAGUUACCAUGUACCAAAAGAUAAAGACAAGGAGAGUAAUAGGGAACAGGAUAAAAAACAUAAAAGACAUGAGAUAAAGCAAAUAGAUACACAAAAUAAUCUGAAAUCAUUUGAAGGAAGAGAUAAAGAACAUCACAGAAGAAGAGAAAGCAGGCAUCAUUUGGGUAAGUUGCUUUGGGUUGCUCUUGUACUUUGAAAUAUUUGAUAUUUAGAUAGAAAUACUCUGAAACCACACCUCAUCUGUACAGAGGGGAUAAAGACAGGC
Molecule: long non-coding RNA, 783 nt
Filed under: Calidris pygmaea (Spoon-billed sandpiper)
Lineage: Eukaryota; Metazoa; Chordata; Aves; Charadriiformes; Scolopacidae
Description: lncRNA (ENSCPGG00000005309.1)
Source: RNAcentral